RNAcentral lists this ribosomal RNA (798 nucleotides) under uncultured Glomeromycotina. RNAcentral's name for it is "SSU rRNA". It matches the Rfam family "Eukaryotic small subunit ribosomal RNA", at positions 314 to 1114 of the family's 1831-position model. Lineage: Eukaryota; Fungi; Glomeromycota. The record is from RNAcentral.
AUCAACUUUCGAUGGUAGGAUAGAGGCCUACCAUGGUGGUAACGGGUAACGGGGUGUUAGGGCACGACACCGGAGAGGGAGCCUGAGAAACGGCUACCACAUCCAAGGAUGGCAGCAGGCGCGCAAAUUACCCAAUCCCGACACGGGGAGGUAGUGACAAUAAAUAACAAUACGGGGUUCUUUCGGAUCUCGUAAUUGGAAUGAGUACAAUUUAAAUCUCUUAACGAGGAACAAUUGGAGGGCAAGUCUGGUGCCAGCAGCCGCGGUAAUUCCAGCUCCAAUAGCGUAUAUUAAAGUUGUUGCAGUUAAAAAGCUCGUAGUUGAAUUUCGGGAUCAGUUGGUCGGUCGUGCCUCGGUACGUACUGGUCAAAUUGAUUCCUACCUUCUGACGAACCACGAUGUCAUUAAUUUGGUGUCGCGGGAAAUCAGGACUGUUACUUCGAAAAAAUUAGAGUGUUUAAAGCAGGCUCGCGCUUGAAUACAUUAGCAUGGAAUAAUGAAAUAGGACGUUUGAUUCUAUUUUGUUGGUUUCUAGGAUCGACGUAAUGAUUAAUAGGGAUAGUUGGGGGCAUUAGUAUUCAAUUGUCAGAGGUGAAAUUCUUGGAUUUAUUGAAGACUAACUACUGCGAAAGCAUUUGCCAAGGAUGUUUUCAUUAAUCAAGAACGAAAGUUAGGGGAUCGAAGACGAUCAGAUACCGUCGUAGUCUUAACCAUAAACUAUGCCGACUAGGGAUCGGAUGAUGUUAACUUUUUAAUGACUCAUUCGGCGCCUUACGGGAAACCAAAGUGUUUGGGUUC